AGCUUCAGUAGCGUAUAUUAAAGUUGUUGCAGUUAAAAAGCUCGUAGUCGCAUUUCUGGCGAGAGGAUCCGGUCCGACCUUUUGGUGGGUUCUUGGGUCUCUUUCGCCAUCCUUGAGUGGUCCGUUCUGGCAUUAGGUUGUCGGAGCGUCAGCCGCUCAUCGUUUACUGUGAGAAAAUUAGAGUGUUCAAAGCAGGCUUAUGCCGUUGAAUAUAUUAGCAUGGAAUAAUAAGAUAGGACCUCGGUACUAUUUUGUUGGUUUGCGCACCAAGGUAAUGAUGAACAGGGACAGUUGGGGGUAUUUGUAUUUCGUUGUCAGAGGUGAAAUUCUGAGAUUUACGAAAGACAAACUACUGCGAAAGCAUUUACCAAGGAUGUUUGCA
This 382-nucleotide ribosomal RNA is filed under the name uncultured marine Chaetocerotaceae. RNAcentral's name for it is "SSU rRNA". It matches the Rfam family "Eukaryotic small subunit ribosomal RNA", at positions 587 to 972 of the family's 1831-position model. Lineage: Eukaryota; Bacillariophyta; Thalassiosirophyceae; Chaetocerotales; Chaetocerotaceae. The record is from RNAcentral.